CCUGAUCCAGCCAUGCCGCGUGAGUGAAGAAGGCCUUCGGGUUGUAAAGCUCUUUCAGCCGGGAAGAAAACGCAUGGGUUAAUACCCUGUGUGGAUGACGGUACCGGAAUAAGAAGCACCGGCUAACUACGUGCCAGCAGCCGCGGUAAUACGUAGGGUGCGAGCGUUAAUCGGAAUUACUGGGCGUAAAGCGUGCGCAGGCGGUUUGUUAAGAUAGGCGUGAAAUCCCCGGGCUCAACCUGGGAACUGCGUUUAUGACUGGCAGGCUAGAGUAUGGCAGAGGGGGGUGGAAUUCCACGUGUAGCAGUGAAAUGCGUAGAGAUGUGGAGGAACACCGAUGGCGAAGGCAGCCCCCUGGGCCAGUACUGACGCUCAUGCACGAAAGCGUGGGUAGCAAACAGGAUUAGAUACCCUGGUAGUCCACGCCCUAAACGAUGUCAACUGGGUGUUGGGUGGGUAAAACCAUUUAAUACCGGAUCUAACGCGUG
This 488-nucleotide ribosomal RNA is filed under the name Ferribacterium sp. Se1Pw_3041. RNAcentral describes it as "bacterial SSU rRNA". It matches the Rfam family "Bacterial small subunit ribosomal RNA", at positions 382 to 861 of the family's 1533-position model. The record is from RNAcentral. Lineage: Bacteria; Pseudomonadati; Pseudomonadota; Betaproteobacteria; Rhodocyclales; Azonexaceae.